Molecule: non-coding RNA, 117 nt
Filed under: Gorilla gorilla gorilla (western lowland gorilla)
Lineage: Eukaryota; Metazoa; Chordata; Mammalia; Primates; Hominidae
Source: Rfam by way of RNAcentral
GCCGGGUGUGGUGGCUCACGCCUGUAAUCCCAGCACCUUGGGAGGCCGAGGUGAGAGGAUCACCUGAGGUCAGGAGUUCGAGACCAUCCUGGCCAACAUGGUGAAACCCCAUCUCUA